GAAAAAACAAGGUCCGGAAGCUCAAAAUUGGGACCAUUGAAAUUUGUCCUUUUGGAGUGUCACCAGAGAAUGCCGACCAUGUCUUCAAAAUUGCAUUCUUCAUCAAGAGGCCCAAAACAAGACACCGGCCACGAAACCCAAACACGAAAUUCUUUUAAUGAUAUAAGUUUGUAGGCUGGACUAGACAGUAGCCUGGACGUGUAUGUCAGGAGACCUGAUCAACGCAGGGGCCGAACUAGUGAAUAUGUUGAAAUUAUGGAUAUCAACGGGACAGAUUAUACAGUUGAGAAGGUAAAGAAUGAUUUACUGGAAGGUUAUGUACAGGAUCCAUACAAUUAUCUUCUCGCUUUUUUCAAUGAGGACUACCCUGAAAGGGAGCCUAUAAUAGUCGAUCAAAAACAGAAAAUCACAGAAUGUAUAGAAUAUUUACAUUCAAAUAACUAUACAAUUGUUUUUGUUAAGAAAUAACUUAAUUAGGCUUUGUUGGCCUGUAUGAAAAUUCACAGCUAGUAUCAGAAUCAUGCCAUUUUUUUUUUUUACUAAUGAGUAGUCUUUAAUUAUCUAUUGCAUACACAGAAUGUUUAGACUUACGUUAAUACUCAUUUUUCCAUGUAGAUAUAUCACGCUUUUAGAGCUGAAUAAAUAACGCAAGUUGCAUUGAAAAAUUAAGGAAGAUUACUGGGAGGGUUUGACCGUUGGAAAAACGGGAGUAAUUGCCCUUUAUGGGCGGAAUCUCAUUAUUAUGGUCCCGUGAUCACCACCAUCCUGUAGAAUAGUCUUCAUUUUUACAUUCCCUUUUACAUCGAUGUAGAGGAAGAUUUUGUAUAAUCAUAUACUUUAAGCAGGAAUGUUUGGAAAAACAAAAUUAAAAUACCGACCAAUAGAUCUGAUUUUAUGUAAAUAUAUUAAACCAAAAAAAAAAAAAACUCAACGAACUUUAUCACUUCUACUGAUAUAGUUUCUUUAUUCCAUAGCACCCAUACUAUAGUACUACAAUACAAAUCUGACCAAAUCUCAUAUUGAAAAACGAUAAGACCAAAAAAAAAAAAACCACAUAAAUUUCUUUUUUGUAUUUCUCAAUCAAAAACUGUGAGAUGUACUUUAUCACUAAUCUCUUAGCCUAUAGGCAAAAUUUACCAUUUUUAUUUUACAGGUGUCUUAUAUUUUGAAUCUAAUUUGUUAUUUUACUGCUGGUGUGAUUGCUUCAGAUAGUAUUGAAAUAUAUUGCCAUAAAAAAAUAAAAUUAUUCAGAUCUUGAUAUUUCCGUUAAAUGUUAUAUAUUUUUAUAAUACACAACAUUUAUUUACUUUUAUCAUCAUCUGUCCCUUGAUUUUCGUCGAAGGGGUGCUGUGACCGUUUAUGAAACUGAUCAGUCCUUAUUUCGACGUCAAAAGCUGUUCAUAGCAGGUUCUCAAGAGAGGCCGGUCCAUUCUUUUACACUGUCCAGCCAGCUUUUCUUUGGACGACCUUUUCUUUGUGUUCCUUCUACUGUGCCAUGAAGGAUGUCUUUUGACCGAACCAACUCAGCUUUCUUCUCUUUAAGUUUAAGAAUAAACAUUCUAAUAUAUUUAUUGUGUAUUGCUUAUAAAUAUUUAAAUGUCUUUUACGAAAUAAAAAGUAAAAACAUG
Molecule: RNA transcript, 1628 nt
Organism: Biomphalaria glabrata
Lineage: Eukaryota; Metazoa; Mollusca; Gastropoda; Planorbidae
Exons: 3
Source: RefSeq, a predicted model, not a curated record